Homo sapiens (human) is the source of this 1554-nucleotide long non-coding RNA. The record is from Ensembl. NCBI's taxonomy places the organism in Eukaryota, Metazoa, Chordata, Mammalia, Primates, Hominidae.
CCGUUCUCACGCUGUUAUAAAGAACUGCUCAAGACUGGGUCAUUUAUAAAGGAAAGAGGUUUAAUUGACUCACAGUUCUGCACGGCUGGGGAGGCCUCAGGAAACUUACAAACAUGGCAGAAGGGAAAGGAGAAGCAGGCGCCUUCUUCAUAGGGUGGCAGGACAGAGUGAGAGCAAGCAGGGGAAAAUGCCAGAUGCUUAUAAAACCAUCAGAUCUCAUGAGAACUCACUAUCAUGAGGACAGCAUGGUGGUAAUCACUCCCAUGAUUCAAUUACCUCCCACAGGGUCCCUCCAACGACAUGUCGGGAUUAUGAGAACUACAAUUCAAGAUGAGAUUUGGGUGGGGACACAACCAAACGAUAUCAUAAGAAUCCUGAUUUUGUUUGGAAGGACAGCGUGCCUGGUUCCAGGACUUGAAUCAUUCGUUUGUCCAGCAUCUCCAUGCUGUGUACGCUACCCGCCUGUUAGUCAUUGACACUGUCUGCUCCUGACAUCCACCCAUCAAUAUUGUCAUUGCUCAAUGAUCCAGGAUCACCGAGAGCAGAUGAGCCUCCUGAUGCAUGGUCAGAAGGUCAAUAGUAGCUUACUUCUCCGUCACAACGCCUGAGUUAUUCACCUCACCUCACCUCAUCACAUGGCCAUUUGAAUCAUCUUAUAUCAUCACAAGAAGAAAGAUGGAGAAAUUGCACUGCAGAGAAAUCUUUAAAAGCAAUUACCUAAUACUGCAGAUUGCUGAACUGUACCCACACCCAAGACUGAGCAUUGGAUCAAUCCAGAAUAUACAUCAGGUGUUCUGCAAUGUCUGCCUAAAACCAUGACUCUGCCUCCUCCAGCUGUUGCUACAUCUCACUAUGGGUUUCCUGUGACAUUUUGAGCAAGUAUGCCUCUGUGACUGGGGUUCUUACACUCCAGAAUGGAUGAGAAGCACCGUAAGUGGCUUUUAAAAUGAAUAUUCCCUGGCCCUUCAGUCGCUCUAUAGGUCAAGAAUCUGAAUUCUCAACCUGUCUAGAAGGUUCUGGUUUUAAUGGUCUGUGGGCUGCACAUUGAGAAACCUGUUCAGCGAGUGCAACAAAGGUUCCACAUGUGAGAAAGGAAGCAUCAGGUCUCUUGAGCCUGUUCUUUAAUCUGUAGGCUGCACCUUCUCUUUAAAUUCUGCUAAUAACACCAUGCGAGAAAACACCCGAGCUUGAAAAGCCCAUGUUCCAACAUAACUGUCCUUCACCACUCUGGAAAAUUAAUGGUUUGUUUCGAUUAUCCCUUUGUUAAACUCCAAAGUCAAAGAGCUCUGAAAGGCAUACGGUUAUUUUAAGUUUCAGGUGAUUUCUGUUGCCAAAUAUUUUAAAAAUUUAAAAUUGCUACGUGACCUCUUAGUAGUACUAUUAGAUUUCCUGACAAUAAAAAUAAGUCUUUUGGUUUCACCAUUUAUAGUUAGUACAGCUAAUAUUAAGUAUAAUUUUAAAAGCCUUUUAUUUUCUCAGAAAGAAAAAAUAAUCAAAAUCUGCUCAGUGUGGUAUUGAAUAAUUAAAAACAAAAGAACAGUAUCUUCACAUUAG